UACUUAAGGUGCGAACGUUGUUCGGAAUCACUGGGCAUAAAGAGCACGUAGGCGGCUUCGUAAGUCUGAUGUGAAAUCCCCCGGCUUAACCGGGGAACUGCAUCGGAUACUGCGGGGCUGGAGUGCAGUAGGGGAGAGUGGAAUUCCAGGUGGAGCGGUGAAAUGCGUAGAUAUCUGGAGGAACACCAGUGGCGAAAGCGGCUCUCUGGACUGCAACUGACGCUGAGGUGCGAAAGCCAGGGGAGCAAACGGG
RNAcentral lists this ribosomal RNA (253 nucleotides) under uncultured bacterium. RNAcentral's name for it is "partial 16S ribosomal RNA". It matches the Rfam family "Bacterial small subunit ribosomal RNA", at positions 524 to 776 of the family's 1533-position model. The record is from RNAcentral.